Molecule: unclassified non-coding RNA, 221 nt
Filed under: plant metagenome
Description: partial contains small subunit ribosomal RNA, internal transcribed spacer 1, and 5.8S ribosomal RNA
Source: RNAcentral
UUUCCGUUGGUGAACCAGCGGAAGGAUCAUUACUGAGAUCAUGCCCUUAACGGGGUAGACCUCCCACCCUGUGUUAUUACGAUUGUCGCUUUGGCAGGCCGCCCUCGGGCGCUCGGCUUCGGCUGAGGCGUGCCUGCCAGAAGACCCAAACCCUGUAUUUAGUGUUGUCCGAGUACUAUUUUAAUACGUUAAAACUUUCAACAACGGAUCUCUUGGUUCUG